GUAAUACUGGUGUGAUCAAAUGUCAA
RNAcentral lists this non-coding RNA (26 nucleotides) under Rattus norvegicus (Norway rat). The record is from RNAcentral. Lineage: Eukaryota; Metazoa; Chordata; Mammalia; Rodentia; Muridae.